UCAAUAAGCGGAGGAAAAGAAACCAACAGGGAUUGCCCUAGUAACGGCGAGUGAAGCGGCAACAGCUCAAAUUUGAAAUCUGGCUUCGGCCCGAGUUGUAAUUUGCAGAGGAAGCUUUGGGCGCGGCACCGACUGAGUCCCCUGGAACGGGGCGCCAUAGAGGGUGAGAGCCCCGUAUAGUCGGACGCUAAGCCUGUGUAAAGCUCCUUCGACGAGUCGAGUAGUUUGGGAAUGCUGCUCAAAAUGGGAGGUAAAUUUCUUCUAAAGCUAAAUACCGGCCAGAGACCGAUAGCGCACAAGUAGAGUGAUCGAAAGAUGAAAAGCACUUUGAAAAGAGGGUUAAAUAGCACGUGAAAUUGUUGAAAGGGAAGCGCUUGUGACCAGACUUGCGCCUGGCUGAUCAUCCGGUGUUCUCACCGGUGCACUCUGCCAGGCUCAGGCCAGCAUCGGUUCUCGCGGGGGGAUAAAGGCCCUGGGAACGUAGCUCCUCCGGGAGUGUUAUAGCCCAGGGUGCAAUGCCCUCGCGGGGACCGAGGUUCGCGCAUCUGCAAGGAUGCUGGCGUAAUGGUCAUCAGCGACCCGUCUUGAAACACGGACCAAGGAGUCAAGGUUUUGCGCGAGUGUUUGGGUGUAAAACCCGCACGCGUAAUGAAAGUGAACGUAGGUGAGAGCUUCGGCGCAUCAUCGACCGAUCCUGAUGUUUUCGGAUGGAUUUGAGUAGGAGCGUUAAGCCUUGGACCCGAAAGAUGGUGAACUAUGCUUGGAUAGGGUGAAGCCAGAGGAAACUCUGGUGGAGGCUCGCAGCGGUUCUGACGUGCAAAUCGAUCGUCAAAUCUGAGCAUGGGGGCGAAAGACUAAUCGAACCAUCUAGUAGCUGGUUACCGCCGAAGUUUCCCUCAGGAUAGCAGUGUUGUCUUCAGUUUUAUGAGGUAAAGCGAAUGAUUAGGGACUCGGGGGCGCUUUUUAGCCUUCAUCCAUUCUCAAACUUUAAAUAUGUAAGAAGCCCUUGUUACUUAAUUGAACGUGGGCAUUC
This 1033-nucleotide ribosomal RNA is filed under the name Humicola sphaeralis. RNAcentral describes it as "eukaryotic LSU rRNA". It matches the Rfam family "Eukaryotic large subunit ribosomal RNA", at positions 43 to 1110 of the family's 3401-position model. Lineage: Eukaryota; Fungi; Ascomycota; Sordariomycetes; Sordariales; Chaetomiaceae. The record is from RNAcentral.